CGAGCACGUAGGUGGGUUUGUAAGUCAGAUGUGAAAGCCUUCUGUUCAACGGGAGAAUUGCAUCUGAAACUGCUAAUCUUGAGUAUAGGAGGGGAGAAUGGAACUUCUGGUGGAGCGGUGAAAUGCGUAGAUAUCAGAAGGAACACCGGCGGCGAAAGCGAUUCUCUGGCCUAUUACUGACACUCAGUGUGCGAAAGCUAGGGGAGCAAACGGGAUUAGAACCCCGGAGCCAGAAU
RNAcentral lists this ribosomal RNA (236 nucleotides) under Candidatus Scalindua brodae. RNAcentral describes it as "partial 16S ribosomal RNA". It matches the Rfam family "Bacterial small subunit ribosomal RNA", at positions 565 to 800 of the family's 1533-position model. The record is from RNAcentral. Lineage: Bacteria; Pseudomonadati; Planctomycetota; Candidatus Brocadiia; Candidatus Brocadiales; Candidatus Scalinduaceae.